This 479-nucleotide ribosomal RNA is filed under the name uncultured bacterium. RNAcentral's name for it is "SSU rRNA". It matches the Rfam family "Bacterial small subunit ribosomal RNA", at positions 26 to 518 of the family's 1533-position model. The record is from RNAcentral.
AGGACGAACGCUGGCGGCGUGCCUCAUACAUGCAAGUGGAGCGACGAACCAGGAUUUAUCCUGGGGCAAAGCCGCGAACGGGUGAGUAACACGUGGGUUACCUGCCCCGAUGAUUGGGACAACCCGAGGAAACUCGGGCUAAUACCAAAUGUGUUCUUGGUCGUGAUGACCAAGAAGAAAGGAAGCCUCGGCCUCCGCAUCGGGAUGGGCCCGCGGCCCAUUAGCUAGUUGGUGGGGUAAUGGCCUACCAAGGCGACGAUGGGUAGCUGGUCUGAGAGGACGAUCAGCCACACUGGGACUGAGACACGGCCCAGACUCCUACGGGAGGCAGCAGUGGGGAAUCUUGCACAAUGGGCGAAAGCCUGAUGCAGCAACGCCGCGUGAGGGACGAAGGCUUUCUGAGUUGUAAACCUCUUUCAGCAGGGACGAUUGUGACGGUACCUGCAGAAGAGCCCCGGCAACUACGUGCCAGCAGCCGC